CACACAAUAUUAAAUAUGAUCAGAACAUGAAGCAGCCUGAUGUGUGGCAGUAAGCUCAGAACAUGGCCAUGGGCUUACCUCAUGAGCAGCACCACUUACAUCAGAGCACUUCCAUUGAGUAGAUCUUGGUCCUGGGACGCCAUGUAGGGUGAUGUUGGACAGACAGAUAGCAGUGAAAGGAGAGUUCUUCAGGCCUUGUAUGGAACCCGGUUGCUGAA
Molecule: unclassified non-coding RNA, 218 nt
Filed under: Hevea brasiliensis (rubber tree)
Lineage: Eukaryota; Viridiplantae; Streptophyta; Magnoliopsida; Malpighiales; Euphorbiaceae
Source: RNAcentral